GAGGAGAUAAGGUAACCUUUUUUUCAUUUAUUUUUCUGUGAUAUCAUGCAUUUUCCCGCAUUUUUGAAAAUAGGGUGCAAGGCUAAGUUUUCAUGACUCCAGCUUCACGUUGGGGCCAGUUUUGUAUCUACAUAAGAAAAGCUACAGUGGUUGGUCAUUAAGAUCCUUAUUUCUUCUUGGGCAUGACGAGUCCAUGUGUUAGUGCAAGUAGCAAUUGUUGUUCAAGCAGG
Molecule: long non-coding RNA, 230 nt
Filed under: Elaeis guineensis (African oil palm)
Lineage: Eukaryota; Viridiplantae; Streptophyta; Magnoliopsida; Arecales; Arecaceae
Description: long non-coding RNA (EGUI_LNC030102)
Source: RNAcentral